RNAcentral lists this ribosomal RNA (301 nucleotides) under uncultured bacterium. RNAcentral describes it as "partial 16S ribosomal RNA". It matches the Rfam family "Bacterial small subunit ribosomal RNA", at positions 509 to 807 of the family's 1533-position model. The record is from RNAcentral.
CAGUAGCCGCGGUAAAACGUAGGGUGCAAGCGUUAAUCGGAAUUACUGGGCGUAAAGCGUGCGCAGGCGGUUAUGCAAGACAGAUGUGAAAUCCCCGGGCUCAACCUGGGAACUGCAUUUGUGACUGCAUGACUAGAGUACGGCAGAGGGGGAUGGAAUUCCGCGUGUAGCAGUGAAAUGCGUAGAUAUGCGGAGGAACACCGAUGGCGAAGGCAAUCCCCUGGGCCUGUACUGACGCUCAUGCACGAAAGCGUGGGGAGCUAACAGGAUUAGAUACCCCAGUAGUCCCUGUCUCUUAUAC